CAGCCAGCUGGUGAAGAUAAGUGGUUCCCUGGAGUUUGGGAGCUGCUCUAGAAAAUUAAUCCUGGGAAGGGGCCUGGGAACCUUAUUUGUCCAUUAUAUGCAUUGCAGAAGAGACUGGCGCUCACCCUAUGAUGCUUGUCACCAUCUCACGUGGGUGGUGUGGGGACUACAGCAGGUGUGGGACACUGCCGGACAGCUGCUAGAUACCACGGUGUGGUGGCCAGGCAAAAACUGGAGCAACAGCUUGGUUUUGAUCUUCACCAUCUGCAAGGGCCUGCAGUUCAUCAUUCUAGGAAAAAGUCCAGCCUCUGCCAUUGGCCUCUGCAUCUUAGGUAGUUCUGGCCUCUUCCUCCAUGCCAGUAAUCAAAGAAAAUGGAGACUACUUGGCACAUCGCCACAGUGGAAACCUGGAAGCUGGUGAACUUAUUGUUACUCAAUUAAUUUUUGACACCGUGGAAACACACAGAUGUGUCUUUAUUUCUGCCACUGUGCACUCAACAAGUUUGUUCCUUGCUCUUAAUGCUUUUCUGGGGUGUUUUUUUAGGAACAUGAACAGUGCGUCUAUCAGCA
Molecule: long non-coding RNA, 570 nt
Organism: Mus musculus (house mouse)
Lineage: Eukaryota; Metazoa; Chordata; Mammalia; Rodentia; Muridae
Product: predicted gene, 31601
Exons: 2
Source: RefSeq, a predicted model, not a curated record